AUUUUGAGUAGGAUCUAUGCAGCUAUUUCAUGCUUCGGCCUUUCAGUUCUACACAAAAGGUCCAUGGAAGGGCUGUAGAAAUCUUCCAUUACUGCAAAGCACAGCAGGCCCAAGAUACAACAAUCCAGUUUGUUCAGUGACCAAACACACCCCGUUCCUGGAGGAUCAACUCGAGCUACUGCACAGCCAGAACCAAUCCGUGAAGCUGACAUCCGAGCACCCUCUGAAGGCUGCAGUACCUGGGGUGCCUGAAAUGCCAUUAUCUCUCCCUCUGAGAACAGAUGCAUUUAUCCUGCAGGAAGAUUCUUUUUCAAACCAAGAGAAGAUAAAGAUGUCUUAGCCUGGGAACCCAAGAUGCAAUCACAUUUUCAAAUCCAACUUUAAAUGCACCAUCAGGUCUACAAUCGAGGAGGUGUGAAUACGUGUGCUAUUGAUUAAUUUCAGCUUUGCUUGAUAUCACUCCAAGUUUCCAAUAACUGACUAUAGUUGCCAUUCCUGGACAGGGCAGGUAAUGAGAAGUGUGCACUUCGCUUUUUUUUUUCUUUUGUCUCCAGAGCUAAAUAUACACAUUCACCA
RNAcentral lists this long non-coding RNA (576 nucleotides) under Numida meleagris (helmeted guineafowl). RNAcentral's name for it is "lncRNA (ENSNMEG00000001797.1)". Lineage: Eukaryota; Metazoa; Chordata; Aves; Galliformes; Numididae. The record is from RNAcentral.